UACAUACACAUAUCAGACCGACCCGACCCCACUUCACCUCUUCUUCUCUCCUACGCGAGAACCAAAAGUCAAGAGCUGCAAACCCAGAAAUCGCGGACAGCAGCCAAAAUCGCGAGCAGUACCAAACCCAUACGUCACCCAUCUGCAAACCCAUAACCCUAGCAACCUAAUCGAUCACUUCGUCGUCCCCUUUCCCCCCUUUUCACGGGAAUUCAGCUUUUUCCCAUCCCCUUUACUGUGGCUUCGAAAAUACCAGAAGAAAUUCAAUUUUUUGUUUGAAUUCUUAAUGGAUUUUCCCCCAAAAUGAUUUUUUCUUCUUCUAUAUAUUCUCUCUUUCAAUCACUGUUUAGCAGGGGAUUUUUUGGAUAAAAAAGGGAGGAUUUUUUCAGACACUAAUUGACCGCCCUAAAACAGAGCGAAUAUCAUCAAAAGAAAAAGUUGUUUUACUUUUGGGAGCUCAUCGAAAUCGGCUCACAGUGGUGGAAGUUCUUCGUGGUCAAGUUCGAGUCCCGGCCUCGCUGCCCCGGAAAAGUUGUUCACUUUGUGUAUGUCCGAGUGAGUCCUAUGUACUCAUGUCUACACCUCGCAUUUCAAAUGGGUCUUGGAGGCCUAAAACUCCCUCUUAUCAAGUCAACCUCAUCAUUGGGAGCAUAUGGAAUUCGGAGAGGAAAUAUAUGUUAUAAAAGAAGCUGAAACAGGUCUUGAAAAGUAGAAAAAGGGGUUGUAUACAAGAUGUAUACAGCUGUAUACACUUAUAUACAGGUCAAAAACGCAAAAAAAAUAGGGCGGAGGCAAAACACAGGUGUUCGGAAGCAAGAAAUACAUGAAAGGGGCC
Solanum tuberosum (potato) is the source of this 835-nucleotide long non-coding RNA. RefSeq lists it as uncharacterized. Lineage: Eukaryota; Viridiplantae; Streptophyta; Magnoliopsida; Solanales; Solanaceae. The transcript is spliced from 2 exons. The record is from RefSeq and is a predicted model, not a curated record.